Molecule: non-coding RNA, 113 nt
Organism: Camillea tinctor
Lineage: Eukaryota; Fungi; Ascomycota; Sordariomycetes; Xylariales; Graphostromataceae
Source: the annotation of a GenBank genome assembly
GCACACGUGGGGUAGAAGUUAACCUGCCUCCCUCCCAAAACACAAUCACCGUCUUCGGCUGGUUGGUGUAGCGGCGAUAGGAGGAGACCCGGGUGCAAAUCCCGGCGUGCGCA